Molecule: long non-coding RNA, 501 nt
Organism: Tribolium castaneum (red flour beetle)
Lineage: Eukaryota; Metazoa; Arthropoda; Insecta; Coleoptera; Tenebrionidae
Exons: 2
Source: RefSeq, a predicted model, not a curated record
UCAUUAUUUACAUGACACAUUUAUUUUCGUGUGGCUAAUUUUAGUUUCUGUAUUGAAUUUGCACUAAUUGGCUUCACCGGCUAAGAUUAAUACCUCUUUUGGUGAUUUGUAAAACAAGAUUGGAUGUCUGCUUGAUGACACUAUUAAAGUGGCUGCUGUUGACCCAAGAAAGUCACUGUAUAAAUAAGCAUCAAGGAUUAUGGUAUUUAACUGGAACGGAGGAUUUGCUUUUUUAAUGACUAGAGAAGUACAAUAUGGACACACAAAUUCUCUGACAUUAAGCAUCAUUUGCAAUAAUCAGUUCUUUCAUAAUUAUUUUUGAAAUAUUUUAGCAAUUGAUUUUUACAAAAGAAAUUUUCAUGUAACUAUGACCAAUGACCCGCCAUCGUAUUGCAUAAGGUGAUGCGUUCACUCCCACUUUAGUGACACAUCAAGACGUAAUGGUUAUUUGCUAAAUGUCUUUUGAGAAAAUGCGAAAUAAAAGAUGAUUUAAAGUAUUAA